AUACGUAGGGAGCGAGCGUUGUCCGGAAUUACUGGGCGUAAAGGGAGCGUAGGCGGGACUGCAAGUCAGAUGUGAAAUACCGGGGCUUAACCCCGGAGCUGCAUUUGAUACUGUGGUUCUUGAGUGAAGUAGAGGCAAGCGGAAUUCCUGGUGUAGCGGUGAAAUGCGUAGAUAUCAGGAGGAACACCGGUGGCGAAGGCGGCUUGCUGGGCUUUUACUGACGCUGGGGCUCGAAAGCGUGGGUAGCAAACAGGAUUAGAUACCCUGGUAGUCCACGCUGUAAACGAUGAUUACUGGGUGUGGGGGGACUGACCCCUUCCGUGCCGCAGUUAACACAAUAAGUAAUCCACCUGGGGAGUACGGCCGCAAGGUUGAAACUCAAAUGAAUUGACGGGG
This 396-nucleotide ribosomal RNA is filed under the name uncultured bacterium. RNAcentral's name for it is "partial 16S ribosomal RNA". It matches the Rfam family "Bacterial small subunit ribosomal RNA", at positions 523 to 918 of the family's 1533-position model. The record is from RNAcentral.